RNAcentral lists this long non-coding RNA (440 nucleotides) under Castor canadensis (American beaver). RNAcentral describes it as "lncRNA (ENSCCNG00000005744.1)". Lineage: Eukaryota; Metazoa; Chordata; Mammalia; Rodentia; Castoridae. The record is from RNAcentral.
CAGGCAUGCCCGGCAGGCACUCUCAAGUCCUCGCCUUGGUAAACGUCUCUCACCGUUUCUCUUGGAAACUACCUGGUUCACAGGUCCAGACGACAGAAUGGAAUCUGUGGUCAAGUGUAUUUCCAUUGUACAAGCUGCAGGACAUAUUUAAUUUGUGUUCACAAACAGUCAUGGAGAGAAAGCUGAUAUGGAAGUUCCAUAAGCUGGACUUGGCAGUUUUUUUUUUAAAAAUGAUCUGCUGCUAGUGCCAGGCAGGCAAAUGAGGGAUCCUGGCUUACUGAGAUCCAAAAAAAGGAAGAAACAUUGAGAAACUACCUAAACAGUCAACAACUUGUUUCUGGGGAAGAGAAAAGGAGAAUGAAUAUCAUUGGGGUAAGUGGCAAAGUUACAUCAAUACCAUCAAUAACACUUUUUUAAAUGUCUAUCUUGAUUUUAUUUAG